UAGUACAUUACACAUUCCAAAAUAUUCGAAUAUAGGGAUGUUUCUAUAAAUUAAACCUUGUCUACUCGUUUAAAGCAUAAAUUAUAAUUAUUGAAAACAUUCAUCUGAUCUGACGGCUAGGAAAAACGGGGGCAAAAACGUCAAAUAAAAAAAUUAAAUUCCUUCCUUACCACCAUCGGUCCAGCAUUCCAUCUACCCUCAUUUGCUUCCUCACCUAUCUCAUCCACACAUCUAUAACUUCCUCAUCUCCGCUGUAGUGGAUCUUUGUCAUGAAUAAAAUCUGAGUUCUCUGUCAUGGAUCUAGUCAGAGGAGUUUCAUCUAUUUUAGAUCUCUCUUCCCAGAAUGUAGCCGUCACCUAAAAUACCUUUCUCUUUGCACCGCCGCUUAUCAGAAGAUAAUGGAUGCUCAUCCUCCUCAUAUAUGGCGGUGGCCAUGGAGUGGAAGCGGUUGGGGAUGGCGGAGAGACUAAAGGCAGUGAAAACAAAGAGUUGAGGCUCCGAUGAUGUAGAUUCGACCUCCUCCUGCUCCAGAUUAAAUUAACGCGGCAAGAGGAGGCAGUUUGGUUGCGUGACAGAGUCGUCGGAAAUUCUGAAUCGUAAGCGGAAGGUGAGGAGGCCACCAUUAUUCAAUGGGGUGAGAAAAGAAAAGACAUGAUAUUUUUUCUGAGUAUGUUGUUUCAAUCAGAACGAAGCAACAACAUGAGAUUUUUCCAGCUCUCAAGCCAGCUAAGUGAAUGCAUGAAACCAGUUACUAAUUUGUAUAGCUGGUUAGUAACAAUCAUAACAUUUACUCGUGUAACCUCUUUGUAACCUCUUAAUCAGUUAUUAAGUCGGGUAAUUGAUUAUUAAUUUGUGUAAUUGAUUAUUAAUGAUUAUAACCUGUAAUAAAUAACCUAUUACAACAAUUAUAAUCUGUCACCAAAUCUUGUAACAAGUUAUUAAUUGUGCAUCCGAGAACUAAUAAUUAUAACUUGUUAGUCAUGUAACCUG
This 990-nucleotide long non-coding RNA is filed under the name Linum usitatissimum (flax). RNAcentral's name for it is "long non-coding RNA (LUSI_LNC005256)". Lineage: Eukaryota; Viridiplantae; Streptophyta; Magnoliopsida; Malpighiales; Linaceae. The record is from RNAcentral.